GACGAACGCUGGCGGUAUGCUUAACACAUGCAAGUCGAACGAGACGAAGAAGAAGUGCUUGCACGGAUUCUUUAGAAAGUGGCGAACGGGUGAGUAACGCGUGGGUAACCUGCCCUAUGGAAAGGAAUAGCCUCGGGAAACUGGGAGUAAUGCCUUAUAGUAUAUCGGGAUCGCAUGAUACUGAUAUGAAACGCUCCGGUGCCAUAGGAUGGACCCGCGUGCCAUUAGCUAGUUGGUGAGAUAACAGCCCACCAAGGCGACGAUGGGUAACCGGUCUGAGAGGGCGAAGGGUGACACUGGGACGAGGACACGGUCCAGAAGCCUACGGGAGGCAGCAGUGGGGAAUAUUGCGCAAUGGGGGAAACCCUGACGCAGCAAUACCGCGUGAGUGAAGAAGGUUUUCGGAUCGUAAAGCUCUGUUAUUGGGGAAGAAAAAAGACGGUACCCAAGAAGAAAGUCCCGGCUAACUACGUGCCAGCAGCCGCAGUAA
RNAcentral lists this ribosomal RNA (490 nucleotides) under uncultured bacterium. RNAcentral describes it as "partial 16S ribosomal RNA". It matches the Rfam family "Bacterial small subunit ribosomal RNA", at positions 28 to 523 of the family's 1533-position model. The record is from RNAcentral.